RNAcentral lists this ribosomal RNA (372 nucleotides) under uncultured organism. RNAcentral describes it as "bacterial SSU rRNA". It matches the Rfam family "Bacterial small subunit ribosomal RNA", at positions 526 to 896 of the family's 1533-position model. The record is from RNAcentral.
CGGAGGGUGCGAGCGUUGUCCGGAAUCAUUGGGCGUAAAGGGCGCGUAGGUGGUGGGGUCAGUUCGUGGUGAAAGCGCGGGGCUCAACCCCGCGUCGGCCAUGAAUACUGCCGCACUGGAGCACUGUAGAGGCAGGCGGAAUUCCGGGUGUAGCGGUGGAAUGCGUAGAGAUCCGGAAGAACACCGGUGGCGAAGGCGGCCUGCUGGGCAGUGGCUGACACUGAGGCGCGACAGCGUGGGGAGCAAACAGGAUUAGAUACCCUGGUAGUCCACGCCGUAAACGAUGGGCACUAGGCGCUUGGGGGAGCGACCCCCCGAGGGCCGGCGCUAACGCAUUAAGUGCCCCGCCUGGGGAGUACGGCCGCAAGGCUG